Molecule: transfer RNA, 82 nt
Filed under: Leptolyngbya valderiana BDU 20041
Lineage: Bacteria; Bacillati; Cyanobacteriota; Cyanophyceae; Leptolyngbyales; Leptolyngbyaceae
Also listed under: 1 other name
Description: tRNA-Tyr
Rfam family: tRNA
About the family: Transfer RNA (tRNA) molecules are approximately 80 nucleotides in length. Their secondary structure includes four short double-helical elements and three loops (D, anti-codon, and T loops).
Source: RNAcentral
GGGCGAGUACCCAAGUGGCCAAAGGGGGCAGACUGUAAAUCUGCUGGCAAUGCCUUCGGGGGUUCGAAUCCCUCCUCGCCCA